Molecule: unclassified non-coding RNA, 378 nt
Filed under: uncultured Chloroflexota bacterium
Lineage: Bacteria; Bacillati; Chloroflexota
Description: uncultured Chloroflexi bacterium contains 16S-23S intergenic spacer region
Source: RNAcentral
UCCGGUUUGGCACCGGCAGUCUCCCUAGAGUUCCCGGCAUGACCCGCUGGCAACUAAGGAUAGGGGUUGCGCUCGUUGCGCCACUUAAGGCAACACCUCACGGCACGAGCUGACGACAGCCAUGCAACACCUGUACACGAGCCCCGAAAGGCUGCCGUAUUUCUACGACACUCCCGUGCAUGUCAAACCCAGGUAAGGUUCUUCGCGUUGCCUCGAAUUAAGCCACACGCUCCGCUGCUUGUGCGGGCCCCCGCCUAUUCCUUUGAGUUUUAACCUUGCGGCCGUAGUCCCCAGGCGGUGAACUUAAUGCGUUAGCUGCGGCACUGAUCGGGUCAAUCCGACCAACACCUAGUUCACAACGUUUAGGGCGUGGACUAC